Molecule: long non-coding RNA, 2962 nt
Organism: Alnus glutinosa
Lineage: Eukaryota; Viridiplantae; Streptophyta; Magnoliopsida; Fagales; Betulaceae
Exons: 4
Source: RefSeq, a predicted model, not a curated record
UUCCCGCUGCCGCUCUCUUUUCCCCAAUAUAAACCUAUCCCCUCUUCUUUCUCCUAGAUCUGGUUCCUCUCCUUCUGGUUUCUUUCGUUUCUUGCCCCAGAUUCGAUCAGUUUCUUUACCCGCGUUUCGAUUAUGGAAUUUUGCUGUUUCGUUUUUGGUCGGUAUCUUCAUUUUUCGCAGACUCCGGCUCGUUUUCGCUGUAGAUCUGCGGAGUUUUGGUGAUCGAACGCUUCUGGAGGUAUCUUUGGUUCCUGCCUUCUUUGGAGUCUGAAUCAGAGGGGAUUUUUGUGGUUUCAUUCAAGCAGUUACAAACGAAUUUGGAUCUGCUCCGUCUCUAUUUUCAAUGGUUUACUUUCGUUUUGAGGUGUCGAAAAGAGAGUCUUGUAGGACUUGUGAUCAGCCUUGGGAUCGGAUCGUGGUGGUGGAUCUGUGUACUGUGAUGGAGUCGUUGAGCGCGGAAGACGCCUGGGAUCUUGGAAAUUACAAGCGGUUUUGAUGUAACAUACCUUUCCUUUCCUGUUUGUUAUUAUAUCAGUCUGAUCCAUUGAUAGAGCCGCGGGUGGUUAUUAUAUAUGACACCUGCAGGUAUUAUCGUAGGAUAUGAUAAGAUGGUUGUAGCCAUGUAUCGACCUUUGCCAUGACGGGUGCGCUUGCAUGGCAGGUCAAAGAUGCUUAAUAAAAUUUAUUUUUUGGGGGGUUUUGGGGGGAGACGGCCCUAGCUUCUUCUUUUCCAUUUUGGGCCGGCCUCCUCCCAUGUGUGUGUGUGCGUGCUCUCUCUCUCUCUCUCUGUCUCUCCCCCUCUAAAUGGCCCGAUCGCUCUCUUUUUGGUGUUAUAUGCCCAAGUAAGUGCGUCAUUGGCUGUGGCUAUAACAUUGACACAAACAGACUACGGAUGAAGACAUGAAAGGUACAAAGUAUAUCUGUUCACUCGCUAAAAGGUGCAUCAAUCUUCAAUAUCUAGUUUGGUUACCCAAAAGGUUAUGUUCUUUGAAUCUGAAGUCUGUUGGUCAAUCAGCAUGGGUGGCAAAUCAAAUUCGUAAUCACACAAGGUAUUAACUGCCAUUUGCACUCGAACAAAAGGAGCAUCAAUCUUCAAUAUCAAGUUUGGUUUCAAAAAGGGUAUUAUCUGCUAUUUGAAUCUGAAGUCUGUCAUUCAAUAAGCAUUGGGUUCUGCCAAAUCAAGUUUUUAAUCACACAAGGUAUUAACUGCCACUUGAGCUAGAACAAAUGGUGCAUCAAUCUUCAUCAAGUUUAGUUCCUCAAAAGGUAUUAUCUGCUAUUUGAAUCUAAAGUCAGUUCUUCAAUAAACAAGGCUUUUUUAUAUGCUAUCUAUUCAUUUUCGUUAUACUUAGCGUAAGGAUUUUGAUCAUACUUACUAUCAAAACGAAGAUAAAAACGUUAAAAAGGAAUCGUGUUUUUCGACUACAAUAUGCCCUAUCAAGGUAAAACUUAUAUUCUCCGCUAUUUACAACCCCGGGUACGCCAUCUUCUAUAAAGGUCUGUUAUUAUUUUUGUACACAUGAUUAUGCGUCUUAAUGAGCUUAUUUUAAGCAUGAGCCGGUUAUUUUUCAACUCAAGGUGAAUAUAUAUGCGGUAGAUAUCAGCAACCAUUCCUAUAAGUUGUUAUCUGCACUCAUUCUUGUUAGUUUCCAUUGCACGCGCAAGCUGCUACUCUUCGUUAAAAGAUGGCAUUUCAUGAAGAUUUAUUGAGUACAAAUUCUGAUAUGCAAUGAUACAAGAAUGAGGAUGCGAAUUUCAAUUGAAAUGCAUCUUUUAUUGUUGUCCUCUUCUUUGUACAUUUGCAAUGAAUUUAUGCUCUUAGUGAAAUUUGCGUGGUGUUUAUCAUUGUAGUCCACUUAAUUUUAGGCAUGGGGAAUUCGGUAUUGUACUUUUAUCAGUGGAUCCUUAAAUGAAUUGUGGGGUUGCCUUUAUGUCAUAUUGUAAUUUCUUCUUGAUAAUGAUGAGUGCCGUCUGUAGAGCAAUUUGCUUCCAAUUGCUGGAAUUGGGUUGUCUUCCUUUGACACACCAGAAUCAUUGCUGUUGAAGUUCGGUAGCAAGUAUGGAGUUGCAGGCAUGCUUUCGAGUUCAUUGAUGUACCAGAAUCACUGCUGUUGAAGUUUGGAAGCGAGGAUGGAGUUUCAGGCAUCUUUUCAAGUUCAUUGAUGUUAUGGCUUGCAAAUAUGUGUUGUUUUGACUCCUAACCUGCCAUUCCUAGCCACGGAAGUGUUCUGUUGGGUAUCAAGGAGAAUUUCUUUUGUUUCGUUCUAGAGCUUCUGAGAUAUCGUGUUUUGUGGUAGAGUUUCUGUAUCCUGUUUUUUGGUGUAAAUGUUCUGCAACAGAGUGUCUGCUUUCGGUCUUUUUGCUUCUCUCUUGGAGCCGGAGAUUUGUUGAUGAAGAAUUUUUGUUUUUUCAUUCAAAUUUGGAGAUAUGACUGGAUUUGUUUCUUACUCAACCUUGACCAGUUUAGAAGUGCGAAACAAAUGCUUAUCUGCUGCAAGAUUGGGAUUUUCUUGUAUUUUUGGGGUUUUUGAGGACUGUACAAGAGCUACUUUAGGUCAGCGGGUGUUUGUGGGUUGUGGCAUAACACUUGAAUCUUCAACCUCAGAAGGUCAUUAUUAUAAUUCAACCAGGGGAUUAGAAGACUUUCUGCUGAAUACUCUUCAUGCUUGUGGAUCUGAGACAUGCUUGGAAUUGUGAUUUUACUGAAGUUUGAUCGGCAUAAGGUGUUCAACAUUUGAUGGAUUUCUGGGCUAUUCGUCGUAGUAAAAUCUUCAGCCACAGGAGGUCAUUAUUGUAAUUCAAAAUCUUCCAUGGGAGGUCCGUGCGUGCGGAUCUGAGACUGAACUUUGAUCGGCUUCAAGUGUGAUAUAUGUAUUUCUGGGCUAUAUUCAUCCUACUAGGAUGAUGAAGGCUAUUAAAGGUAAAAAGCAAUUCAUGAUACGGUUAUACCCAAUUUUUAGUU